AAGGACCUGGUGGGAGAUCU
RNAcentral lists this microRNA (20 nucleotides) under Mus musculus (house mouse). Its description in RNAcentral is "mmu-miR-6962-5p". Lineage: Eukaryota; Metazoa; Chordata; Mammalia; Rodentia; Muridae. The record is from miRBase by way of RNAcentral.